Molecule: long non-coding RNA, 2029 nt
Filed under: Bos indicus x Bos taurus (hybrid cattle)
Lineage: Eukaryota; Metazoa; Chordata; Mammalia; Artiodactyla; Bovidae
Description: lncRNA (ENSBIXG00000022448.1)
Source: RNAcentral
CUAUAACAUUAAUUUUAUUUAGAAUAUUAUGCCAGAUCAGCAGAGAACAAACGAGAAUGAGUAAAAAGGUAUGAUUUUGACUUGUGUUACGGAGUCUUCAUUUUCACUAAUAUCAAUAAAUUCCAAAGGAAUGGUGGACCCUGCUUCCAAAAAGCAUCUCAGAACGACACGCCCUGCGGCUAGCUCCCGGCUCAACACAUCGCCCGCCUGCCUCCUCGCUGCACGGGGCAGCCCACGUCCACGUGGCCCUGAAGCUGGGGAACAGCACCCUUGAUUCCUUCUGGACUCUGAUCAGUUGGCGGGUCUUUGCACUCUGGCCUUUCCUAGCUUGACUUCCCAUCCACUGGAGGCUCUGAGUCUCUAAGUCAAGAGUCUGCCAGAUUUAAGCAUUAACCGAGGUGUGAAUUCACUUACAGACCAGGAGGAGCAGACUCGCCAGCGACUCCUCACCCUGCAAUGUCCUGUCACGCACUCAGGGGUGCGUUUCCUGCCCUCUCCCCGCUGGAGGGCAUGAGCCCCCCGCCCCCCCACCCCCCCAACCCUCCAGGCAGAGAGACACGCCAGGCAGUCUACAAGGACCAUUCCUAAAGGGAUGACCUUCCUGAAGCUUUGACCUGUAGCGACCAGGCGUCUACAGCGAGGCGUCUGCUCCCCAUAGCACCCAGGUUCCCAGGGAUGCGUCUCAGCGCCCUUCUGAGCCCUGAGGGGAGUUUCCAGCUGGGCUCCACCUGCUUUGUUCUCCGAGACUGGAGACACGGAACGCCGGACUUAAAUUUCACUUUGAAGCCUGUGCCCUUGAAGGCUGACACCCACUGGUAUCCGAUGGUGCUGAUAAGGCUGCUGUUUCUAAGCUGGACGUUCACCCAGGCUCCUGGUGGCACCAGGGGACAAGCAGCCACACCACUGAGAAGGUCUUCUCUCUGUCACUGCUACAGGUUUCUGGCUGUGGAAAAGCCUGCUUCCUCUUUGCUGAGUGGUGCCACCUCCCAGAGUGUUGAUCUGCUUUGGCCUCAGAGUCCUCCUCUGUAAAAUGGGAAGGCUGGUCCCUGCCUUGCAGAAUUAAGCACACUACUGAAUACGCAGCAGAAGACCAGCAUCAUGAAAAAACAGCUUGUCCUCAGCCAGCAGGCUCUCAUGGUAGAGUUGGGGCUUGGUGGGGGAGUAGUUCAAUUCAGUUCAGUCGCUCAGUCGUGUCCGACUCUUUGCGACCCCAUGGACUGCAGCAAGCCAGGCCUCCCUGUCCAUCACCAAUUCCCGGAGCUUGCUCAAACUCAUGUCCAUUGAGUUGGUGAUGCCAUUCAACCAUCUCAUCCUCUGUUGUCCGCUUCUCCUCCAGCCUUCAAUCUUUCCCAGCAUUAGGGUCUUUUAGAAUGAGUCAGUUCUUCCCAUCAGGUGGCCAAAGUAUGGAAGUUUCAGCUUCAGCAUCAGUCCUUCCAAUGAAUAUUCAGGACUGAUUUCCUUUAGCAUGGACUGGUUGGAUCCACUUGCAGUCCAAGGGACUCUCAAGAGUCUUCUCCAGCACCACAGUUCAAAAGCAUCAAUUCUUUAGCGCUCAGCUUUCUUUAUAAUCCAACUCUCACCUCCAUACAUGACUAUUGGAAAAACCACAGCUUUGACUAGAUGGACUUUGUUGGCAAAGUAAUGUCUCUGCUUUUUAAUAUGCUAAGUUGGUCAUAGCUUUUCUUUCAUGGAGCAAGCGUUUUUGAAUUUCAUGGCUGCAGUCACCAUCAGCAGUGAUUCUGGAGCCCCCCAAAAUAAGUCUGUCACUGUUUCCAUUGUUUCCCCAUCUAUUUGCCAUGAAGUGAUGGGACCAGAUUGCAUGAUCUUAGUUUUCUGAAUGCUGAGUUUUAAGCCAGAUUUUUCACUCUCCUCUUUCACUUUCUUCAAGAGGCUCUUUAGUUCCUCUUAGCUUUCUGCCAUAAGGGUGGUGUCAUCUGCAUAUCUGAGGUUAUUGAUAUUUCUCCCAGCAAUCUUGAUUCCAGCUUGUGCUUCAUCCAGCCAGGCAUUUCUCAUGAUGUACUCUGCAUAG